This 1845-nucleotide long non-coding RNA is filed under the name Ficedula albicollis (Collared flycatcher). RNAcentral describes it as "lncRNA (ENSFALG00000028814.1)". The record is from RNAcentral. Lineage: Eukaryota; Metazoa; Chordata; Aves; Passeriformes; Muscicapidae.
CUGAUACUGAAUACACCAUUCUAAUAAUGACUAUCCCGCCAUUCUAAUAAUGAACAUACCAUUCUAAUCAAUAAUACACAAUUCUGAUAAUGAAUACACCAUUCUAAUAAUGACUAUCCCAUUGCAGUAAUUAAUACCCAGGUAUGAAUUAUAAUUAAGAUGUAAUUGCUACCUAUCAGCAGUGUGAUCCGUGCCGAUAAGGAAGGAGGAGAAGCAGCAGGGAAAUGUUCUCCCCGGGAGCAGCUGGGAUAAAGGUUGGGUUGGUUUCCAGUGAUUCUCUGGUUAAUGUUCAGUUAAUAUUAAUAAUAUUAUUAACGUGAAUAAAAUCAACAAAUCAAAUCAAUCAUUUCCAAUUAAUUGUAUAAGAUUGGGACAGUUAAUAACAUUAAAAAUGCUCAUAAAAAUGAGAUUGUUUAGGAAUUGUUCCACUCUUGCCCUGGUUGGAGUUUCACCCCUGGGUCAGCGAGAAAGAAAAUAAAGCAAAGUUUUCUUGUUGCAAUCAAAUUUCUCUGUGUGUUCUCGUCCUCUAAAAACCAAAAAUCCUUCCAGGAUUUCAGGCUUUGCACCUUUGCAGGGGGAUUUUGGGGCUGGGUUGGAAUUCUUUGGGCAAUUUUCUGGAGAAUUCCAGGGCAAGGUUUCAAAUGCUGAAACGUUUCCUGAGAGGAUCAGGAAUAAUAAUAAUCAUCAUAAUUAAUAAUUAAUUAAUAAUAAUAGUCCCUGAUCCCUCAGGGACAGCAGGAGGGAAUCUGAGGGAUCCAGGGGAAUGUUCUGCAGAAUCUCAGAGACCUCCCAGGGGAAAAAAAACCAUUUCAAAAUGGAUUUAUACUUUUAAUUUUAGCUUUUAUUUUAUUGUUAUAUUGACAUUUCUAGUUCUAGUUAAUUAUGGAAUUAAAUUCAGCCAUGGGGGGGGGUCUGAGGAGGGAAUUGAGAUGAAUGAGGGCACAGGGGGCACUCGGGGGCACUCUGGGGUCACGCUGGGGUCACUCAAGGUCACGUGAGGUCAUUUCAAGGUCACUUGAGGUCAUUUCAAGGUCAUUUCAAAGUCAUUUGGGGUCACUUCAAGGUCACGGGGGUUACUCGGGGUCAUUUUUGGAUUUUUGAGUUUUUCAAGUCCCUGGCCGGGGUAACUGUAGGUCACUUCAAGGUCACUUGGGGUCACUUCAAGGUCACUCGGGGUCAUUUCAAGGUCAUUUGGGUCACAGGGGUCACUUGAGGUCAUUUUUGAUUUUUCUGAGUCCCUGACCAGGUCACUAGAGGUCAUUUCAAGGUCAUUUGAGGUCGCCAGGGAUUGGGGUUCUGGGGUGAGGGGUCAGGGAUUGGGGUCCUGGGCUCUCCCAAGCAGAGGGUGAGGGUCCCUCUGGAGAGAGGGACUGGGGUCCCAAGAUUUCCCCUAAAGCACCGAGCAGGGUGUGCGGGGUCAGGGAUUGGGGUCCCGUGUUUCUCCUAAAGCACCCAGAAGAGGGUCAGAGUCCCUCUGGAGAGAGGGGUCAGAGAUUGGGGUCCUGGAUUUCCCCUGAAUCACCAAACAGGGUGAGGGGUCAGAGAUUGGGGUCCUGGAUUUCCCCUGAAUCACCAAACAGGGUGAGGGGUCAGAGAUUGGGGUCCUGGAUUUCCCCUGAAUCACCAAACAGAGGGUGAGGGGUCAGAGAUUGGGGUCCUGGGUUUCCCCCGAGCAGAGGAUAAAAGAUCAGGGACUGGGGUCCUGGAUUUCCCCUAAAACAUCGAUCAGAGAGUGAGGGAUCAGGGAUUUGGGUCCCGGAUUUCCCCUGAACCACCAAACAGGGUGAGGGAUCAGGGACUGGGGUCCUGGGGUGAGGGGUCAGGGAUUGGGUUCUGCCCCCCCCC